GAAUCGCUAGUAAUCGCGGAUCAGCACGCCGCGGUGAAUACGUUCCCGGGCCUUGUACACACCGCCCGUCACACCAUGAGAGUUUGUAACACCCGAAGCCGGUGGCGUAACCCUUUUAGGGAGCGAGCCGUCUAAGGUGGGACAAAUGAUUAGGGUGAAGUCGUAACAAGGUAGCCGUAGGAGAACCUGCGGCUGGAUCACCUCCUUUCUAAGGAAACAGACUGAAAGUCUGACGGAAACCUGCACACACGAAACUUUGUUUAGUUUUGAGGGGAUCACCCUCAAGCACCCUAGCGGGUGCGACUUUGUUCUUUGAAAACUGGAUAUCAUUGUAUUAAUUGUUUUAAAUUGCCGAGAACACAGCGUAUUUGUAUGAGUUUCUGAAAAAGAAAUUCGCAUCGCAUAACCGCUGACGCAAGUCAGUACAGGUUAAGUUACAAAGGGCGCACGGUGGAUGCCUUGGCACUAGGAGCCGAUGAAGGACGGAACUAAUACCGAUAUGCUUCGGG
RNAcentral lists this unclassified non-coding RNA (509 nucleotides) under Lacticaseibacillus casei. RNAcentral's name for it is "Lactobacillus casei partial contains 16S ribosomal RNA, 16S-23S ribosomal RNA intergenic spacer, and 23S ribosomal RNA". The stretch from base 1 to 208 matches the Rfam family "Bacterial small subunit ribosomal RNA", at positions 1329 to 1533 of the family's 1533-position model. The record is from RNAcentral. Lineage: Bacteria; Bacillati; Bacillota; Bacilli; Lactobacillales; Lactobacillaceae.